CUCCAGGCAGUGCCGUUGCUUCUCUGAGAUCUGGCUCCGCAGGGCCUGCUUCUCUUUCCGCAGGUUCUCCAGGGACAGUGUGGACCAGUCAAGCCUCAGCUCCUCGCACCGGGCCCUGAGCUGUGGGUACAUGAACAGAAAGUCUCAGUAGCCAAAGGGAGCAAGGGCCAGGGUCUCUGGGCAGUGCAAUGGAUCCUUCCUACAGUUGUAGUACAUAGCAUCGACACCCACUCACAAACAAGCAAUGUAAUAAAGACCAGUGUGACACAGUACAGGACCAUGACAAGAGGGAAAGAGUCCCUGGACUGAUCUUUGCAGAGUCCAACAAGUCCAGUGCCAGAACACACCUCUGGCCCAGUGAGUGGACAAUCAAGUCCUCCUUCAACCUCACACGGGUGCAUCCAGCAGUGGCAGGCCCCCAUGCACAUACCAGCCGCAGGCUCUGGCUCCGAAGCUCGCUAUUGUCCUUCUCUAGCUGUUCCGACUGCUCCCGCAGCUGCUGGUUGUGGGCAGAGAUUUCCUUCUGGGCCUGAAUCAGGUCAUUGUAGGUCAGCGCCUUCACGCCCAACUGGAGAUGAGAGGACAAAGCAUGGAGCUGGGGAAGCGUUGCUGAGGACCUCUCAAGGAAGAUUGAUAUGCCUGCACGUCACCCUGGAGAGGGCGGUGGUACAAGGCCUGUGGAUGCGUUACCUUCCUUCAUGUUUGCGAAUCGCUCCUUCAGCUGGUGAUCCACCUCAGGACCAAAGGCAAAGUUAUUCACAAAUAUAACACUGCAAAACAAUGUUCCAAUUCAGUAAAACUGAGGCUGUGCAUGGGAAG
This is a long non-coding RNA of Mastomys coucha (southern multimammate mouse), 819 nucleotides long. RefSeq lists it as uncharacterized. The record is from RefSeq and is a predicted model, not a curated record. NCBI's taxonomy places the organism in Eukaryota, Metazoa, Chordata, Mammalia, Rodentia, Muridae. The transcript is spliced from 2 exons.